This is a long non-coding RNA of Erigeron canadensis, 157 nucleotides long. RefSeq lists it as uncharacterized. NCBI's taxonomy places the organism in Eukaryota, Viridiplantae, Streptophyta, Magnoliopsida, Asterales, Asteraceae. The transcript has 3 exons. The record is from RefSeq and is a predicted model, not a curated record.
GAAGAUAUCUAGCUCAAGAUUAAAGAGAAACUUGAUUUUAGCUAACUAGAAAGUAAAGUAGAGUGCUUUUGAUCUUUAAUCAGGAGUAAAUCAAGGUGAUACAAGAGAUCAACCAAGUUUUACUUAAAAGCUAACGGUGAUUAUAAGGUGAGACAAG